Pocillopora verrucosa is the source of this 448-nucleotide non-coding RNA. The record is from RefSeq and is a predicted model, not a curated record. Lineage: Eukaryota; Metazoa; Cnidaria; Anthozoa; Scleractinia; Pocilloporidae.
GGCAGCUGUUGGUCGAAUCGAUUUCAAGCGUUGUUUGACAGAUUGUGUCUACACCAGGAGAGAAGCUUAAAGCUAAAGACUUCAUUUAGAGAAGAAGCCCAACAAACACUGGCCAAAAGAAAGGUUGAGAGAUUAAAGCAUCCUGACACAUUGUGGAUGAAACUCAAAACUUUUUUAACAAUUGUGGAAAAAUUGAGAAAGAAGUAAUUUCACAACGUCAGCCCAAAGAACAUGUCUUCAACAUCUUAGAGUCCAGUGAAGAAGAUGAAGAAGCCUUCGAAGCCAUGGCAGAAAUUGAUAAGUUUGAGGAAAGUCUUAAACAGAAGGAAAUUAUAAAACCAGAGUAGAAACUAACUUUCUGAAAGUUAUCCUUAUUUCUUGUAAAGAAAAAAAUCUUGCCACUGUACAUAACUGUAAGAAAUGUAAAUAAAGUGUUAUUUCCAUUGUA